GACGUCGGGUGCAAGCGUUUUUCGGACUCACUGGGCGUAAAGCGCGUGUAGGCGGUUCGAUAAGUCGGACGUGAAAGCCCGGGGCUUAACCCCGGAAGGGCAUCCGAAACUGUCGAGCUUGAGUACGGGAGAGGGAAGCGGAAUUCCUGGUGUAGAGGUGAAAUUCGUAGAUAUCAGGAGGAACACCGGUGGCGAAGGCGGCUUCCUGGACCGAUACUGACGCGGAGACGCGAAAGCGUGGGGAGAACACAGGAGGAGAUACCCCCGUAGUCC
Molecule: ribosomal RNA, 273 nt
Filed under: uncultured bacterium
Lineage: Bacteria
Description: partial 16S ribosomal RNA
Rfam family: Bacterial small subunit ribosomal RNA
Source: RNAcentral